AGUGAACGCUGGCGGUAGGCCUAACACAUGCAAGUCGAACGGCAGCACAGUAAGAGCUUGCUCUUACGGGUGGCGAGUGGCGGACGGGUGAGGAAUACAUCGGAAUCUACUUUUUCGUGGGGGAUAACGUAGGGAAACUUACGCUAAUACCGCAUACGACCUACGGGUGAAAGCAGGGGAUCUUCGGACCUUGCGCGAUUGAAUGAGCCGAUGUCGGAUUAGCUAGUUGGCGGGGUAAAGGCCCACCAAGGCGACGAUCCGUAGCUGGUCUGAGAGGAUGAUCAGCCACACUGGAACUGAGACACGGUCCAGACUCCUACGGGAGGCAGCAGUGGGGAAUAUUGGACAAUGGGCGCAAGCCUGAUCCAGCCAUACCGCGUGGGUGAAGAAGGCCUUCGGGUUGUAAAGCCCUUUUGUUGGGAAAGAAAGGCAGCAGGUUAAUACCCCGCUGUUCUGACGGUACCCAAAGAAUAAGCACCAGCUAACUUCGUG
RNAcentral lists this ribosomal RNA (492 nucleotides) under uncultured bacterium. RNAcentral's name for it is "partial 16S ribosomal RNA". It matches the Rfam family "Bacterial small subunit ribosomal RNA", at positions 29 to 507 of the family's 1533-position model. The record is from RNAcentral.